RNAcentral lists this ribosomal RNA (465 nucleotides) under uncultured Weissella sp. RNAcentral describes it as "bacterial SSU rRNA". It matches the Rfam family "Bacterial small subunit ribosomal RNA", at positions 338 to 795 of the family's 1533-position model. Lineage: Bacteria; Bacillati; Bacillota; Bacilli; Lactobacillales; Lactobacillaceae. The record is from RNAcentral.
CCUACGGGAGGCAGCAGUAGGGAAUCUUCCACAAUGGACGAAAGUCUGAUGGAGCAACGCCGCGUGUGUGAUGAAGGGUUUCGGCUCGUAAAACACUGUUGUAAGAGAAGAAUGACAUUGAGAGUAACUGUUGAGUGUGUGACGGUAUCUUACCAGAAAGGAACGGCUAAAUACGUGCCAGCAGCCGCGUUAAUACGUAUGUUCCAAGCGUUAUCCGGAUUGAUUGGGCGGAAAGCGAGCGCAGACGGUUGUUUACGGCUGACGACAAAGCCAUCAAAGUAACUGUGAAAGUGCGUUGGAAACUGGAUAACUUGAGUACAGUAGAGGAGAGUGGAACUCCAUGUGUAGCGGUGAAAUGCGUAGAUAUGUGGAAGAACACCAGUGGCUAAGUCGGCUCUCUGGACUGUAACUAACAUUGAGGCUAGAAAGUGUGGGUAGCAAACAGGAUUAGAUACCCUGGUAGUC